This 324-nucleotide long non-coding RNA is filed under the name Capsicum annuum. RNAcentral describes it as "long non-coding RNA (CANN_LNC003778)". The record is from RNAcentral. Lineage: Eukaryota; Viridiplantae; Streptophyta; Magnoliopsida; Solanales; Solanaceae.
AAUUCAAAUUGGAGAUUGUUUCCUUCUCCAAUAUAAAUUCAGAUUGGAAUAGCUUCAAUCUCCAAAUUCAAAUUGGAGAUUAUUUUCUUCUCCCAUACAAAUUCAAAUUGGAGGUUCUUUGCUUCUCCAAUCUAAGUUCAAAUCGGAAGAGUUUUAUUUCUGAUUAAGUAAGGUGAUGAAAAAGUCUUCUAAAAUCUGUUUGAAAUUAGAUAUCAUGCCUCACCAAUGGAUCUUAAGUGUAGAGAUUCAUGGAAAAAAAUGACAGUUUUGAGACUAAGUAAGGUGAUGAAAAAAUCUUCCAAAAUCUGUUUGAAAUUGGAUAUC